GAUGAACGCUGGCGGCGUGCUUAACACAUGCAAGUCGAACGAAGCAUUUAAAACAGAUUAUUUCGGUAUGAAGUUUUUUAUGACUGAGUGGCGGACGGGUGAGUAACGCGUGGGUAACCUGCCUCGUACUGGGGGAUAGCAGCUGGAAACGGCUGGUAAUACCGCAUAAGCGCACAAUGUUGCAUGACAUGGUGUGAAAAACUCCGGUGGUAUAAGAUGGACCCGCGUCUGAUUAGCUAGUUGGUGAGAUAACAGCCCACCAAGGCGACGAUCAGUAGCCGACCUGAGAGGGUGACCGGCCACAUUGGGACUGAGACACGGCCCAGACUCCUACGGGAGGCAGCAGGGGGGAAUAUUGCACAAUGGAGGAAACUCUGAUGCAGCGACGCCGCGUGAGUGAAGAAGUAAUUCGUUAUGUAAAGCUCUAUCAGCAGGGAAGAUAGUGACGGUACCUGACUAAGAAGCUCCGGCUAAAUACGUGCCAG
RNAcentral lists this ribosomal RNA (485 nucleotides) under uncultured bacterium. Its description in RNAcentral is "bacterial SSU rRNA". It matches the Rfam family "Bacterial small subunit ribosomal RNA", at positions 28 to 511 of the family's 1533-position model. The record is from RNAcentral.